Molecule: ribosomal RNA, 254 nt
Filed under: uncultured bacterium
Lineage: Bacteria
Description: partial 16S ribosomal RNA
Rfam family: Bacterial small subunit ribosomal RNA
Source: RNAcentral
UACGUAGGGCGCAAGCGUUGUCCGGAAUUAUUGGGCGUAAAGAGCUCGUAGGCGGUUUGUCGCGUCUGCUGUGAAAACCUCAGGCUCAACCUGGGGCUUGCAGUGGGUACGGGCAGACUAGAGUGCGGUAGGGGUGACUGGAAUUCCUGGUGUAGCGGUGGAAGUGCGCAGAUAUCAGGAGGAACACCGAUGGCGAAGGCAGGUCACUGGGCCGCAACUGACGCUGAGGAGCGAAAGCAUGGGGAGCGAACAGG